Molecule: small nucleolar RNA, 140 nt
Organism: Apodemus sylvaticus (European woodmouse)
Lineage: Eukaryota; Metazoa; Chordata; Mammalia; Rodentia; Muridae
Product: small nucleolar RNA SNORA48
Exons: 1
Source: RefSeq, a predicted model, not a curated record
UACCCCUGGCAAUGGGCAAGGAGACACCUUGUUGGUGGUGUUCAUGUAUCAGUCAGGGCAGAGCAGAUGGCAGCCCUUUGUUAAUCCUAGUUUGAUGCCUGGCUUGGUGGCCAAAGCUGCCUUAUGCCUAAGACUCAUAA